GCUUGCUUAGCUCAAUUCGGUAGAGCUUUGGUUUUGUAAACCAAAGGUUAUCGGUUCAAGUCCGAUAGCAAGCU
This 74-nucleotide transfer RNA is filed under the name Chlamydomonas moewusii. It matches the Rfam family "tRNA". From Rfam's summary of the family: Transfer RNA (tRNA) molecules are approximately 80 nucleotides in length. Their secondary structure includes four short double-helical elements and three loops (D, anti-codon, and T loops). Further hydrogen bonds mediate the characteristic L-shaped molecular structure. tRNAs have two regions of fundamental functional importance: the anti-codon, which is responsible for specific mRNA codon recognition, and the 3' end, to which the tRNAs corresponding amino acid is attached (by aminoacyl-tRNA synthetases). tRNAs cope with the degeneracy of the genetic code in two manners: having more than one tRNA (with a specific anti-codon) for a particular amino acid; and 'wobble' base-pairing, i.e. permitting non-standard base-pairing at the 3rd anti-codon position. Lineage: Eukaryota; Viridiplantae; Chlorophyta; Chlorophyceae; Chlamydomonadales; Chlamydomonadaceae. The record is from Rfam by way of RNAcentral.